AUUCAUACCUAUAUUUAUUACCGUUGCAAGACCUACGCAACCAAUAAGUGUAUGCAUUUAAUCAAAGCACAAUGAAAACCUUACUCGUCAUCAUCAUCAUGGCUUGCGUAUUUGCGGCCUAUGUAUUAGCUGAGCCUGAGUUUGAUGAAGACUUUGAUGGUGUCCCAGAUUAUAGAUUGGAAGGGAAAACACGGGAUCAGGUGGCCAGAAUACUCGCUAAUGCUAGGUCUGUGGCAGGUUUAAUCUGAUUGCCCUGACCUUAUACCUCGGUCUUGACAAAUAGAAAGGUUUCAAUUUUGUCGGACUUUAUCUGAACACACAGCUACAGUAUAGGUACAAUAAAAAAUUAUAAUAAAAUUAUAUGCGCAGCGUAGUCUGUUCUGUGAUCGUGAUAAUUAUUA
Bicyclus anynana (squinting bush brown) is the source of this 401-nucleotide long non-coding RNA. RefSeq lists it as uncharacterized. The record is from RefSeq and is a predicted model, not a curated record. Lineage: Eukaryota; Metazoa; Arthropoda; Insecta; Lepidoptera; Nymphalidae. The transcript is spliced from 2 exons.